AUUGAACGCUGGCGGCAUGCCUUACACAUGCAAGUCGAACGGCAGCGGGGGAGAAGCUUGCUUUUCCUGCCGGCGAGUGGCGAACGGGUGAGUAAUACAUCGGAACGUGCCCUGUAGUGGGGGAUAACUAGUCGAAAGAUUAGCUAAUACCGCAUACGACCUGAGGGUGAAAGUGGGGGACCGCAAGGCCUCAUGCUAUAGGAGCGGCCGAUGUCUGAUUAGCUAGUUGGUGGAGUAAAGGCCUACCAAGGCGACGAUCAGUAGCUGGUCUGAGAGCACGAUCAGCCACACUGGGACUGAGACACGGCCCAGACUCCUACGGGAGGCAGCAGUGGGGAAUUUUGGACAAUGGGCGAAAGCCUGAUCCAGCAAUGCCGCGUGUGUGAAGAAGGCCUUCGAGUUGUAAAGCACUUUUGUCCGGAAAGAAGUGGCUCUGGUUAAUACCUGGGGUCGAUGACGGUACCGGAAGAAUAAGGACCGGCUAACUACGUGCCAGCCGCCGCAGUAA
RNAcentral lists this ribosomal RNA (508 nucleotides) under uncultured bacterium. RNAcentral's name for it is "partial 16S ribosomal RNA". It matches the Rfam family "Bacterial small subunit ribosomal RNA", at positions 30 to 523 of the family's 1533-position model. The record is from RNAcentral.